UACGUAGGGGGCAAGCGUUGUCCGGAUUUAUUGGGCGUAAAGCGCACGCAGGCGGUCUCUUAAGUUUUGAGUGACAGGUAGUGGCUCAACCACAACAGGCCUCAGAAGACUGGGAGACUUGAGGACGAGAGAGGGAUGCGGAAUUCCAGGUGUAGCGGUGAAAUGCGUAGAUAUCUGGAGGAACACCGGUGGCGAAGGCGGCAUCCUGGACCAACACUGACACUGAGGAGCGAAAGCCAGGGGAGCAAACGGG
This 253-nucleotide ribosomal RNA is filed under the name uncultured bacterium. Its description in RNAcentral is "partial 16S ribosomal RNA". It matches the Rfam family "Bacterial small subunit ribosomal RNA", at positions 524 to 776 of the family's 1533-position model. The record is from RNAcentral.